This 472-nucleotide ribosomal RNA is filed under the name uncultured bacterium. RNAcentral describes it as "bacterial SSU rRNA". It matches the Rfam family "Bacterial small subunit ribosomal RNA", at positions 28 to 507 of the family's 1533-position model. The record is from RNAcentral.
GACGAACGCUGGCGGCGUGCCUAACACAUGCAAGUCGAGCGGAGAUAAGCGGAUGGUAACUGAAGUUUGUCUUAGCGGCGGACGGGUGAGUAACACGUGGGCAACCUGCCUUAGAGUGGGGGAUAACACCGGGGAAAUCGGUGCUAAUACCGCAUAACAUACACAAACUGCAUGGUAAGUGUAUCAAAGGAGCAAUCCGCUUUAAGAUGGGCCCGCGGCUGAUUAGCUAGUUGGUAAGGUAACGGCUUACCAAGGCGACGAUCAGUAGCCGACCUGAGAGGGUGACCGGGCCACACUGGAACUGAGACACGGUCCAGACUCCUACGGGAGGCAGCAGUGGGGAAUAUUGCGCAAUGGGGGGAACCCUGACGCAGCAACGCCGCGUGAGGAAGAAGGUCUUCGGAUUGUAAACUCCUGUCUUCUGGGACGAAGAAUGACGGUACCAGAGGAGGAAGCCACGGCUAACUACGUG